Molecule: ribosomal RNA, 789 nt
Filed under: Monoblepharidomycetes sp. ATCC MYA-4807
Lineage: Eukaryota; Fungi; Monoblepharomycota; Monoblepharidomycetes
Description: eukaryotic LSU rRNA
Rfam family: 5.8S ribosomal RNA (bases 301-455)
Source: RNAcentral
UGAGACUGUGCGCUGUGUGUUUGUGUUUCUUGCACACACACUCGCCAGUACCUCACCCCACACUUUGUGAACCGUUUCCUGUCUCUGGCGGGCAGUCUGCUCGGCGCGUUGGGAGCUUUUGCUUUCCAACUCACUUGGGUGGACCUGGUUUCGUUUGGGAAGAGGAGCUCCCCUCCUCUCUCUUGAACGUUUUAGCCAAACCCGCCAGGGGGUUUUUCGGAACCCCCAACAGUUUGUUAACUCUAUACUUUUAAACCAUCUCUGUCUGAUUUACAUCACAAACCUAAAAUGUGAAUAAACAACUUUUGACAACGGAUCUCUUGGCUCUCGCAACGAUGAAGAACGCAGCGAAAUGCGAUACGUAAUGUGAAUUGCAGAAUUCCGUGAAUCAUCGAAUCUUUGAACGCAAAUUGCGACCUUCUGGUAUUCCAGGAGGUAUGCCUGUUUGAGAAUCGUGACCCUCUCACUCUCUCACGAGAGUGGAUUUGAGUCUUGUCCCAAAACGACUCUGCUUGAAAGAGCACGAGUUUGAGGUUGGGUGACUUUAAAUUCAGGUGGGCCUUUGGAAAAGCAGCGAAAGCACUUUCUGUUUUCGGUGAAAAGGCGUGAUAAAACGUUUUCAGAAACUUUGUUGUUUCAGAAAGCAACUAUAUCCUCGCUUCAAGUAACCAAAUUCAGAUCUUGGGUGCUCUUGCAAAACAAUGCGUUUCCAUUCUAGAAGGCUUGCACAACGAAACAGGAAAUGAAGCCCCUCUCCUGGGGCUUUGUGUACUGAAUCUCAAAUCAGCA